RNAcentral lists this ribosomal RNA (252 nucleotides) under uncultured bacterium. RNAcentral describes it as "partial 16S ribosomal RNA". It matches the Rfam family "Bacterial small subunit ribosomal RNA", at positions 524 to 776 of the family's 1533-position model. The record is from RNAcentral.
UACGUAGGUCCCGAGCGUUGUCCGGAUUUAUUGGGCGUAAAGCGAGCGCAGGUAGUUUAUUAAGUCUGGUGUAAAAGGCGGUGGCUCAACCAUUGUAUGCAUUGGAAACUGGUAGACUUGAGUGCAGGAGAGGAGAGUGGAAUUCCAUGUGUAGCGGUGAAAUGCGUAGAUAUAUGGAGGAACACCGGUGGCGAAAGCGGCUCUCUGGCCUGUAACUGACACUGAGGCUCGAAAGCGUGGGGAGCAAACAGG